ACUCCUACGGGAGGCAGCAGUGAGGAAUAUUGGUCAAUGGAGGGAACUCUGAACCAGCCAUCCCGCGUGUAGGAAGACGGCCUUAUGGGUUGUAAACUACUUUUAUACAGGAAGAAACGUACCCUCGUGAGGGUGCCUGACGGUACUGUAGGAAUAAGCACCGGCUAACUCCGUGCCAGCAGCCGCGGUAAUACGGAGGGGUGCGAGCGUUAUCCGGAUUUAUUGGGGUUUAAAGGGUCCGUAGGCGGAUUAAUAAGUCAGUGGUGAAAUCCCAUCGCUUAACGAUGGAACUGCCAUUGAUACUGUUAGUCUUGAAUGAGGGUGCAGUGGUUGGAAUGUGUAGUGUAGCGGUGAAAUGCAUAGAUAUUACACAGAACACCGAUUGCGAAGGCAGAUCACUAACCCUAAAUUGACGCUGAGGGACGAAAGCGUGGGGAGCGAACAGGAUUAGAUACCCUGGUAGGAUAGCG
RNAcentral lists this ribosomal RNA (470 nucleotides) under uncultured bacterium. RNAcentral's name for it is "bacterial SSU rRNA". It matches the Rfam family "Bacterial small subunit ribosomal RNA", at positions 335 to 799 of the family's 1533-position model. The record is from RNAcentral.